UCUGAACACAAUCAAAACAAUACCUCAGUUUCUCUCUCUGGUUAUUGGUUUUUCCAUCUAGUUAGUUUAGGAUUUUUGAAACCUUAGUUUCUCUCUCUAGUGUUGUCGAAACCUUAGUUUCUCUCUGUAGCUAAACGUUUUUGACGGGGUUUGUUAGUUUAGGCUUUUGAAAGAUGAAAUUCUCUUUCUUGUUAGUUCAAGAUUUUUGUAACCUUAUUUAUCUCUAGCUCAGGGUUUUUAGGGUUAGUUUAGGAUUUUUGAAUGCUUAAUUUCUCUCUGUAUUUUAGUUCAUGAUUAGGGAGAGUAUAAAAUUUGGG
This 317-nucleotide long non-coding RNA is filed under the name Amborella trichopoda. Its description in RNAcentral is "long non-coding RNA (ATRI_LNC004551)". The record is from RNAcentral. Lineage: Eukaryota; Viridiplantae; Streptophyta; Magnoliopsida; Amborellales; Amborellaceae.